This 301-nucleotide ribosomal RNA is filed under the name uncultured bacterium. RNAcentral's name for it is "partial 16S ribosomal RNA". It matches the Rfam family "Bacterial small subunit ribosomal RNA", at positions 509 to 809 of the family's 1533-position model. The record is from RNAcentral.
CAGUAGCCGCGGUAAUACGAGGGGGGCAAGCGUUGUUCGGAAUUAUUGGGCGUAAAGGGUGCGUAGGCGGUUUGGCAAGUUUGGUGUGAAAUCUUCGGGCUCAACUCGAAGUCUGCAUCGAAAACUGCCGGGCUCGAGUAUGGGAGAGGUGAGUGGAAUUUCCGGUGUAGCGGUGAAAUGCGUAGAUAUCGGAAGGAACACCUGUGGCGAAAGCGGCUCACUGGACCAUAACUGACGCUGAUGCACGAAAGCUAGGGGAGCAAACAGGAUUAGAUACCCGCGUAGUCCCUGUCUCUUAUAU